UACGGGGGGGGUAAGCGUUGUUCGGAAUUACUGGGCGUAAAGGGCUCGUAGGCGGCCAACUAAGUCGGACGUGAAAUCCCUCAGCUUAACUGGGGAACUGCGUCUGAUACUGGAUGGCUUGGAUUUGGGAGAGGGAUGCGGAAUUCCAGGUGUAGCGGUGAAAUGCGUAGAUAUCUGGAGGAACACCGGUGGCGAAGGCGGCAUCCUGGACCGGUAUUGACGCUGAGGAGCGAAAGCCAGGGGAGCAAACGGG
Molecule: ribosomal RNA, 253 nt
Filed under: uncultured bacterium
Lineage: Bacteria
Description: partial 16S ribosomal RNA
Rfam family: Bacterial small subunit ribosomal RNA
Source: RNAcentral